UACAGAGGCCUCGAGCGUUAGGCGGAAUCACUGGGCUUAAAGCGUGUGUAGGUGGAUGCCUAAGUACCUUGUGAAAUCCCACGGCUUAACCGUGGAACUGCUUGGUAUACUGGCGGUCUUGAGCCAGCUAGGGGCUACCGGAACAAAUGGUGGAGCGGUGAAAUGCGUAGAUAUCAUUUGGAACGCCAAUGGUGAAAACAGGUAGCUGGGGCUGUGCUGACACUGAGACACGAAAGCCAGGGGAGCAAACGGG
Molecule: ribosomal RNA, 253 nt
Filed under: uncultured bacterium
Lineage: Bacteria
Description: partial 16S ribosomal RNA
Rfam family: Bacterial small subunit ribosomal RNA
Source: RNAcentral